Long non-coding RNA from Sander lucioperca (pikeperch), 250 nucleotides. RefSeq lists it as uncharacterized. The transcript has 3 exons. Lineage: Eukaryota; Metazoa; Chordata; Actinopteri; Perciformes; Percidae. The record is from RefSeq and is a predicted model, not a curated record.
UGCUCUUCUUCUUCUUCUUCAUCUGCAGACUUUGCGAAGUUUAGAUUUUACAUUUCUACAUUUUUGGAACUUCUACCCUGAAACUUUCCCCACCAACUCUUCGGUAUCCCUCCUGCUGCUGACUCUAGAACUUAUCUCUCUCCUGUCAUUCAGAUCAACAUGAAGAUCUCUAUCUUUGCUGGUGUUCUGCUGAUCUCUGCUGCCGUGAUCUCUGCUGAUCUGAUGUUCCUGGGACCAGAACCUGCAGAUG